RNAcentral lists this ribosomal RNA (497 nucleotides) under uncultured bacterium. RNAcentral's name for it is "partial 16S ribosomal RNA". It matches the Rfam family "Bacterial small subunit ribosomal RNA", at positions 28 to 507 of the family's 1533-position model. The record is from RNAcentral.
GAUGAACGCUGGCGGCGUGCCUAAUACAUGCAAGUCGAGCGAACAGACGAGGAGCUUGCUCCUCUGACGUUAGCGGCGGACGGGUGAGUAACACGUGGAUAACCUACCUAUAAGACUGGGAUAACUUCGGGAAACCGGAGCUAAUACCGGAUAAUAUAUUGAACCGCAUGGUUCAAUAGUGAAAGACGGUUUUGCUGUCACUUAUAGAUGGAUCCGCGCCGCAUUAGCUAGUUGGUGAGGUAACGGCUUACCAAGGCGACGAUGCGUAGCCGACCUGAGAGGGUGAUCGGCCACACUGGAACUGAGACACGGUCCAGACUCCUACGGGAGGCAGCGGUAGGGAAUCUUCCGCAAUGGGCGAAAGCCUGACGGAGCAACGCCGCGUGAGUGAUGAAGGUCUUCGGAUCGUAAAACUCUGUUAUUAGGGAAGAACAAAUGUGUAAGUAACUAUGCACGUCUUGACGGUACCUAAUCAGAAAGCCACGGCUAACUACGUG